Molecule: unclassified non-coding RNA, 314 nt
Organism: Erinaceus europaeus (western European hedgehog)
Lineage: Eukaryota; Metazoa; Chordata; Mammalia; Eulipotyphla; Erinaceidae
Gene: 7SK
Rfam family: 7SK RNA
About the family: 7SK was discovered as an abundant small nuclear RNA in the mid-70s but a possible function has only recently been suggested. Two independent studies have found that 7SK RNA binds the CDK9/cyclin T complex (known as elongation factor P-TEFb). P-TEFb activates transcription by phosphorylating the C-terminal domain of RNA polymerase II.
Source: Ensembl
GGUCGGGUGAUGAGGUUGAUUCGACAGCCAGGGUUGAUUCGACUGAUCUGGCUGGCUGGCUAGGCAGGUGACCCUUCCUCCCUCACCACUCCAUGUGCUUCCCUCCCGAAGCUGCCCAAUCGGUGGAAGAGGACGGCCUUCCCGGAAUAGAGACAGACCUGUCGAGCGUAUACUAGUAGCUGCGCUCCCCUGCUAGAACCUCCAAACUAGCUCUCAAGAUUAUUACUUUUUCUUUUCUCCAUAGUCUAGCUUAACUAAAAACCAAUAAACUCUAAUAAAUACAAUCUAGACUUGAUCAUAGUUUUUGAUCAAUU